AGUGAACGCUGGCGGUAGGCCUAACACAUGCCAGUCGAACGGCAGCACAGUAAGAGCUUGCUCUUACGGGUGGCGAGUGGCGGACGGGUGAGGAAUACAUCGGAAUCUACUUUUUCGUGGGGGAUACCGUAGGGAAACUUACGCUAAUACCGCAUACGACCUACGGGUGAAAGCAGGGGAUCUUCGGACCUUGCGCGAUUGAAUGAGCCGAUGUCGGAUUAGCUAGUUGGCGGGGUAAAGGCCCACCAAGGCGACGAUCCGUAGCUGGUCUGAGAGGAUGAUCAGCCACACUGGAACUGAGACACGGUCCAGACUCCUACGGGAGGCAGCAGUGGGGAAUAUUGGACAAUGGGCGCAAGCCUGAUCCAGCCAUACCGCGUGGGUGAAGAAGGCCUUCGGGUUGUAAAGCCCUUUUGUUGGGAAAGAAAAGCAGCAGGUUAAUACCCCGCUGUUCUGACGGUACCCAAAGAAUAAGCACCGGCUAACUUCGUG
RNAcentral lists this ribosomal RNA (492 nucleotides) under uncultured bacterium. RNAcentral describes it as "partial 16S ribosomal RNA". It matches the Rfam family "Bacterial small subunit ribosomal RNA", at positions 29 to 507 of the family's 1533-position model. The record is from RNAcentral.